UUAAGCGACUAAGCGUACACGGUGGAUGCCCUGGCAGUCAGAGGCGAUGAAGGACGUGCUAAUCUGCGAUAAGCGUCGGUAAGGUGAUAUGAACCGUUAUAACCGGCGAUUUCCGAAUGGGGAAACCCAGUGUGUUUCGACACACUAUCAUUAACUGAAUCCAUAGGUUAAUGAGGCGAACCGGGGGAACUGAAACAUCUAAGUACCCCGAGGAAAAGAAAUCAACCGAGAUUCCCCCAGUAGCGGCGAGCGAACGGGGAGCAGCCCAGAGCCUGAAUCAGUGUGUGUGUUAGUGGAAGCGUCUGGAAAGGCGCGCGAUACAGGGUGACAGCCCCGUACACAAAAAUGCACAUAUUGUGAGCUCGAUGAGUAGGGCGGGACACGUGGUAUCCUGUCUGAAUAUGGGGGGACCAUCCUCCAAGGCUAAAUACUCCUGACUGACCGAUAGUGAACCAGUACCGUGAGGGAAAGGCGAAAAGAACCCCGGCGAGGGGAGUGAAAAAGAACCUGAAACCGUGUACGUACAAGCAGUGGGAGCCUCUUUUAUGGGGUGACUGCGUACCUUUUGUAUAAUGGGUCAGCGACUUAUAUUCUGUAGCAAGGUUAACCGAAUAGGGGAGCCGAAGGGAAACCGAGUCUUAACUGGGCGUUAAGUUGCAGGGUAUAGACCCGAAACCCGGUGAUCUAGCCAUGGGCAGGUUGAAGGUUGGGUAACACUAACUGGAGGACCGAACCGACUAAUGUUGAAAAAUUAGCGGAUGACUUGUGGCUGGGGGUGAAAGGCCAAUCAAACCGGGAGAUAGCUGGUUCUCCCCGAAAGCUAUUUAGGUAGCGCCUCGUGAAUUCAUCUCCGGGGUAGAGCACUGUUUCGGCAAGGGGGUCAUCCCGACUUACCAACCCGAUGCAAACUGCGAAUACCGGAGAAUGUUAUCACGGGAGACACACGGCGGGUGCUAACGUCCGUCGUGAAGAGGGAAACAACCCAGACCGCCAGCUAAGGUCCCAAAGUCAUGGUUAAGUGGGAAACGAUGUGGGAAGGCCCAGACAGCCAGGAUGUUGGCUUAGAAGCAGCCAUCAUUUAAAGAAAGCGUAAUAGCUCACUGGUCGAGUCGGCCUGCGCGGAAGAUGUAACGGGGCUAAACCAUGCACCGAAGCUGCGGCAGCGACACUAUGUGUUGUUGGGUAGGGGAGCGUUCUGUAAGCCUGUGAAGGUGUACUGUGAGGUAUGCUGGAGGUAUCAGAAGUGCGAAUGCUGACAUAAGUAACGAUAAAGCGGGUGAAAAGCCCGCUCGCCGGAAGACCAAGGGUUCCUGUCCAACGUUAAUCGGGGCAGGGUGAGUCGACCCCUAAGGCGAGGCCGAAAGGCGUAGUCGAUGGGAAACAGGUUAAUAUUCCUGUACUUGGUGUUACUGCGAAGGGGGGACGGAGAAGGCUAUGUUGGCCGGGCGACGGUUGUCCCGGUUUAAGCGUGUAGGCUGGUUUUCCAGGCAAAUCCGGAAAAUCAAGGCUGAGGCGUGAUGACGAGGCACUACGGUGCUGAAGCAACAAAUGCCCUGCUUCCAGGAAAAGCCUCUAAGCAUCAGGUAACAUCAAAUCGUACCCCAAACCGACACAGGUGGUCAGGUAGAGAAUACCAAGGCGCUUGAGAGAACUCGGGUGAAGGAACUAGGCAAAAUGGUGCCGUAACUUCGGGAGAAGGCACGCUGAUAUGUAGGUGAAGUCCCUCGCGGAUGGAGCUGAAAUCAGUCGAAGAUACCAGCUGGCUGCAACUGUUUAUUAAAAACACAGCACUGUGCAAACACGAAAGUGGACGUAUACGGUGUGACGCCUGCCCGGUGCCGGAAGGUUAAUUGAUGGGGUUAGCGCAAGCGAAGCUCUUGAUCGAAGCCCCGGUAAACGGCGGCCGUAACUAUAACGGUCCUAAGGUAGCGAAAUUCCUUGUCGGGUAAGUUCCGACCUGCACGAAUGGCGUAAUGAUGGCCAGGCUGUCUCCACCCGAGACUCAGUGAAAUUGAACUCGCUGUGAAGAUGCAGUGUACCCGCGGCAAGACGGAAAGACCCCGUGAACCUUUACUAUAGCUUGACACUGAACAUUGAGCCUUGAUGUGUAGGAUAGGUGGGAGGCUUAGAAGUGUGGACGCCAGUCUGCAUGGAGCCGACCUUGAAAUACCACCCUUUAAUGUUUGAUGUUCUAACGUGGACCCGUGAUCCGGGUUGCGGACAGUGUCUGGUGGGUAGUUUGACUGGGGCGGUCUCCUCCUAAAGAGUAACGGAGGAGCACGAAGGUUGGCUAAUCCUGGUCGGACAUCAGGAGGUUAGUGCAAUGGCAUAAGCCAGCUUGACUGCGAGCGUGACGGCGCGAGCAGGUGCGAAAGCAGGUCAUAGUGAUCCGGUGGUUCUGAAUGGAAGGGCCAUCGCUCAACGGAUAAAAGGUACUCCGGGGAUAACAGGCUGAUACCGCCCAAGAGUUCAUAUCGACGGCGGUGUUUGGCACCUCGAUGUCGGCUCAUCACAUCCUGGGGCUGAAGUAGGUCCCAAGGGUAUGGCUGUUCGCCAUUUAAAGUGGUACGCGAGCUGGGUUUAGAACGUCGUGAGACAGUUCGGUCCCUAUCUGCCGUGGGCGCUGGAGAAUUGAGGGGGACUGCUCCUAGUACGAGAGGACCGGAGUGGACGCAUCACUGGUGUUCGGGUUGUCAUGCCAAUGGCACUGCCCGGUAGCUAAAUGCGGAAGAGAUAAGUGCUGAAAGCAUCUAAGCACGAAACUUGCCCCGAGAUGAGUUCUCCCUGACCCUUUAAGGGUCCUGAAGGAACGUUGAAGACGACGACGUUGAUAGGCCGGGUGUGUAAGCGCAGCGAUGCGUUGAGCUAACCGGUACUAAUGAACCGUGAGGCUUAACCUU
This 2900-nucleotide ribosomal RNA is filed under the name Escherichia coli. RNAcentral describes it as "bacterial LSU rRNA". It matches the Rfam family "Bacterial large subunit ribosomal RNA". The record is from RNAcentral. Lineage: Bacteria; Pseudomonadati; Pseudomonadota; Gammaproteobacteria; Enterobacterales; Enterobacteriaceae.